Molecule: ribosomal RNA, 492 nt
Filed under: uncultured bacterium
Lineage: Bacteria
Description: partial 16S ribosomal RNA
Rfam family: Bacterial small subunit ribosomal RNA
Source: RNAcentral
GAUGAACGCUAGCUACAGGCUUAACACAUGCAAGUCGAGGGGAAACGACAUCGAAAGCUUGCUUUUGAUGGGCGUCGACCGGCGCACGGGUGAGUAACGCGUAUCCAACCUGCCCAUCACUUGGGAAUAACCUUGCGAAAGUAAGACUAAUACCCAAUGACAUCCCACGAAGACAUCUGAAUGGGAUUAAAGAUUUAUCGGUGAUGGAUGGGGAUGCGUCUGAUUAGCUUGUUGGCGGGGUAACGACCCACCAAGGCAACGAUCAGUAGGGGUUCUGAGAGGAAGGUCCCCCACAUUGGAACUGAGACACGGUCCAAACUCCUACGGGAGGCAGCAGUGAGGAAUAUUGGUCAAUGGGCGAGAGCCUGAACCAGCCAAGUAGCGUGCAGGAUGACGGCCCUAUGGGUGGUAAACUGCUUUUAUAAGGGAAUAAAGUGGGUCUCGUGAGACUUUUUGCAUGUACCUUAUGAAUAAGGACCGGCUAAUUCCGUG